RNAcentral lists this ribosomal RNA (38 nucleotides) under Circulifolium microdendron. RNAcentral's name for it is "partial 26S ribosomal RNA". The record is from RNAcentral. Lineage: Eukaryota; Viridiplantae; Streptophyta; Bryopsida; Hypnales; Neckeraceae.
CAGACCUCUAAUCGGAAAAGACUACCCGCUGAGUUUMA